CAGUGUUCUGUGAGAUCUAUCCAUCCAUCCAUGGAGUUUAGCAAUUUGUAGGGUUUCGUGGUUGCUGUUACGGUCGUAAACGUAGGGUUUUGUCUGAGAGUUGUUGUAACUACAACAACAAGUAAUGGCAACCACAAACCCUUUCGAUCUCUUGGGCGAUGACGACAACGACGACCCCUCUCAGCUUGCUUCUCAUCUGCUCAAGCUCGCGCCUGCUAAGAAAUCCUCAGCGCCUCCUCCUCAGGCCGCUCCUGCGCAGCAGGCUAAGCCGGCUAAGUUGCCCUCUAAGCCUCUUCCCCCGGC
RNAcentral lists this long non-coding RNA (303 nucleotides) under Vitis vinifera (wine grape). RNAcentral describes it as "long non-coding RNA (VVIN_LNC007849)". The record is from RNAcentral. Lineage: Eukaryota; Viridiplantae; Streptophyta; Magnoliopsida; Vitales; Vitaceae.